RNAcentral lists this ribosomal RNA (458 nucleotides) under uncultured Bacteroidota bacterium. Its description in RNAcentral is "bacterial SSU rRNA". It matches the Rfam family "Bacterial small subunit ribosomal RNA", at positions 68 to 503 of the family's 1533-position model. Lineage: Bacteria; Pseudomonadati; Bacteroidota. The record is from RNAcentral.
GGCAUCGGGACGUAGCAAUACGUUGCCGGCGACCGGCGGGUGGGUGAGUAACGCGUAUGCAACCUGCCCACGACAGGGGGAUAGCCCGUUGAAAGACGGAUUAAUACCCCAUAAAACAGGGGUUCCGCAUGGGACUAUUUGUUAAAGGGUUUUCCGCGAGGGGGAUCCGGUUGUGGAUGGGCAUGCGUUCCAUUAGGCAGUUGGUGGGGUAACGGCUCACCAAACCGACGAUGGAUAGGGGAACCGGGAGGUUGGUCCCCCACACUGGUACUGAGAUACGGACCAGACUCCUACGGGAGGCAGCAGUGAGGAAUUUUGGUCAAUGGACGGAAGUCUGAACCAGCCAAGUCGCGUGAAGGAAGGCGGCCCUAAGGGUUGUAAACUUCUUUUGUAAGGGAAUAAAGGCCGGUACGCGUUACCGGUUUGCAGGUACCUUACGAAUAAGGAUCGGCUAACUC